UAGGGAAUCUUCGGCAAUGGGGGCAACCCUGACCGAGCAACGCCGCGUGAGUGAAGAAGGUUUUCGGAUCGUAAAGCUCUGUUGUAAGAGAAGAACGUGUGUGAGAGUGGAAAGUUCACACAGUGACGGUAACUUACCAGAAAGGGACGGCUAACUACGUGCCAGCAGCCGCGGUAAUACGUAGGUCCCGAGCGUUGUCCGGAUUUAUUGGGCGUAAAGCGAGCGCAUGCGGUUUAAUAAGUCUGAAGUUAAAGGCAGUGGCUUAACCAUUGUUCGCUUUGGAAACUGUUAAACUUGAGUGCAGAAGGGGAGAGUGGAAUUCCAUGUGUAGCGGAGAAAUGCGUAGAUAUAUGGAGGAACACCGGUGGCGAAAGCGGCUCUCUGGUCUGUAACUGACGCUGAGGCUCGAAAGCGUGGGGAGCAAACAGG
This 429-nucleotide ribosomal RNA is filed under the name bacterium. RNAcentral describes it as "partial 16S ribosomal RNA". It matches the Rfam family "Bacterial small subunit ribosomal RNA", at positions 355 to 776 of the family's 1533-position model. The record is from RNAcentral.